Molecule: long non-coding RNA, 394 nt
Filed under: Elaeis guineensis (African oil palm)
Lineage: Eukaryota; Viridiplantae; Streptophyta; Magnoliopsida; Arecales; Arecaceae
Description: long non-coding RNA (EGUI_LNC004754)
Source: RNAcentral
ACUCCAUGAUCCCCUUCACGUGGAGAUUUCGAAAGUGGGUGGCCUCAGCGGUGGCUUCAGAGUGACCUUCUCUCAAUUUGCGGAGCUCGCCUUCUGUCUUCUUCAACUUCUUUGUCAGGUGAAGGACUUCCUUCUUCAGCCGCUGGAUCGUCGAUUUCAGCGGGACCCCCAGGGGCAGGGGGAGCGCUUCUGCAGGGCACUGCCAUCGGAAGGCAAAAGCAUCGAAGCACGACUCAUUGCAGGAAGAAGAGCAGAGAGAAGGAGGGGGGAAGGAGAAGCCGUUCGCAACAAGAAAUUCAACUUUUUUGAUUGAAUGAUUUUUGAAGACAAACAGAAAAGAAAAAUUGCGAUGAAAUAAAGGUACAAGAUUGAGGUCUCAGACCUCAGGGGCGGG